Molecule: long non-coding RNA, 1194 nt
Organism: Megalops cyprinoides (Indo-Pacific tarpon)
Lineage: Eukaryota; Metazoa; Chordata; Actinopteri; Elopiformes; Megalopidae
Exons: 3
Source: RefSeq, a predicted model, not a curated record
UUUCGUUGGAAACGGAGAAACGAUUCUUUGAUAUUCCUGAUCAGUAUGAUUCAUUCCCGGCCUUACACGGAUAGCUAGUCCACCUAGUUCACAUUUGAUAUUGUGGCACACUACAUGGAUGCCGUUUUCUGGACAACGGCUUAGGUAAUUGUUCGUUUCCUUGACCACCCUUGAAACAACUUGGGGAAGACAGAGGACUGGGCUGUUGUGAACCAUUCUCAGAGAUGUCAUGUGGGGUUUGAACCACAUUGCCAUUGCUGGAGUCCUGUCCCUCUGAGCUGUCCAACGCUUAUGACCUCACUCAGCUCUCAGCUACGAAAAGGAGGUCACCUGAACCUCGCAGGGAGUGGGAGUGUGACUUCAUGAAAUGUUCCCCAACCAAAACAGUCACUCUUCUUCAGAUCGAUCAGUUUCUGAGCUAUUUAUCGAAGACAUGGGGAAGGGACACCUGAUACACUGAGCUAACUGCAGUGUCUCUUCGGAUUUCUGUGAUUUAAGAAUAGAACAGUCCUGAUUCCUGUGGGCAGUGAUACCCAGAGAGCUAAGAAUAAGGUAGGACUUGCCUUAUUUUUAACUGACUGUGGUCUUGAACUAGUUUGUCUUGAUUAACAAACUUGUCAGUUUUAUUGAGGAGCACCCAUCAGCUGCUGAUUCCUUUUUGCACGAUUCUUGAUUAUGUUGUAACUUUCACCCUUCACAAUGAUUCAUUUUUGUAUUGGCAAGAUCUUGUUUCAUACAAUGUUUUCAUUUAGCCUGUAGCAAUGACAUUCUAUCAGUUUUUAUACCAAAAAAAAUUUUCAUAAUAAUAACCUGUUAAAUUUAGCAUGAAGUACAAAAGCAGAGCAACUACAUUUGAUGCAAUGAGGUAAAAAGGAAUCAGCUGUUGAUGGAUGAGCCUUCUUUAAAUCAACAUACUUAUUACUUGUGCAGCACCUUGCCAAAACAGGUUCAAUUUAAACAUCAAAUAAAGAUAGUUCUCUGUCUGUCCUAUUUGUGUUUUACCAUAUGUUGCAAGUUAUUACAGAUACAGAACCAAAUAAUCCACAGCAACCACAAAGGAUGGAUUUCCUGUUUUUGCUUUAGAGAAAUCCUAAUCCUAACCCAAUGUAUGCACACUUACACCACACACAAAUAUGAACAGAUUGUCGGCUCUCAGCCGUUUCGCUUCUCUAGCACAAACUGCACAAAUGUGAU